This 76-nucleotide transfer RNA is filed under the name Mycoplasmatota bacterium. Its description in RNAcentral is "Tenericutes bacterium (anaerobic digester metagenome) tRNA-Val". It matches the Rfam family "tRNA". From Rfam's summary of the family: Transfer RNA (tRNA) molecules are approximately 80 nucleotides in length. Their secondary structure includes four short double-helical elements and three loops (D, anti-codon, and T loops). Further hydrogen bonds mediate the characteristic L-shaped molecular structure. tRNAs have two regions of fundamental functional importance: the anti-codon, which is responsible for specific mRNA codon recognition, and the 3' end, to which the tRNAs corresponding amino acid is attached (by aminoacyl-tRNA synthetases). tRNAs cope with the degeneracy of the genetic code in two manners: having more than one tRNA (with a specific anti-codon) for a particular amino acid; and 'wobble' base-pairing, i.e. permitting non-standard base-pairing at the 3rd anti-codon position. Lineage: Bacteria; Bacillati; Mycoplasmatota. The record is from RNAcentral.
GGGCGAUUAGCUCAGUUGGGAGAGCAUCUGCCUUACAAGCAGGAGGUCGGCGGUUCGAGCCCGUCAUCGCCCACCA